CGGACGGGUGAGUAAUGUAUAGGAGCUUGCCUAGUAGUGGGGGACAACGUGUGGAAACGCACGCUAAUACCGCAUACGCUCUACGGAGGAAAGCGGGGGAUCUUCGGACCUCGUGCUACUAGAUGGGCCUAUAUUGGAUUAGCUAGUUGGUAGGGUAAAGGCCUACCAAGGCGACGAUCCAUAGCUGGUUUGAGAGAAUGAUCAGCCACACUGGGACUGAGACACGGCCCAG
Molecule: ribosomal RNA, 232 nt
Filed under: uncultured bacterium
Lineage: Bacteria
Description: partial 16S ribosomal RNA
Rfam family: Bacterial small subunit ribosomal RNA
Source: RNAcentral